Molecule: ribosomal RNA, 389 nt
Filed under: uncultured bacterium
Lineage: Bacteria
Description: partial 16S ribosomal RNA
Rfam family: Bacterial small subunit ribosomal RNA
Source: RNAcentral
CCUACGGGUGGCAGCAGUAGGGAAUAUUGCUCAAUGGGGGAAACCCUGAAGCAGCAAAGCCGCGUGGAGGAUGAAGGUUUUCGGAUUGUAAACUCCUUUUGAUAGAGAAGUUAAUGAAGGUAUGUAACGAAUAAGCACUGGCUAAGACCGUGCAAGCAGCCGCGGCAAUGGGGAGGGUGCAGGGGUUACUCGGAAUCACUGGGCGUAAAGCGCGGGUAGGCGGGUUAGCAAGUCAGAUGGGAAAUCCUAGGGCUUAAACAUAGAACUGCAUUUGAAACUGUUAUUCUAGAGUCUGGAGGAGGUAGGUGGAAUUGUUGGUGUAGGGGUAAAAUCCUUAGAGAUCAAGAGGACUACUAAUUGCGAAGGCGACCUGCAAGAACAUAACUGAC